Non-coding RNA from Sesamum indicum (sesame), 415 nucleotides. The record is from RefSeq and is a predicted model, not a curated record. Lineage: Eukaryota; Viridiplantae; Streptophyta; Magnoliopsida; Lamiales; Pedaliaceae.
UUGGUUUGGUGACCAGCCCCAGCCAAAGUACUUCCGCUCCUGCUACAACUCAGGGAGCCCAAGGUGGAACUGCAAGCUCUACAGGUAGUACCCAGAUGCAUGCCUGGGUACAAGGAGCUAUUGCUAAAAUUAGUAGUACGACUGAUGGUGUUCCGAAUUCUGCUCCAAACCCCAUAAGUGGUCCUUCAACCUUUAUGCCAAUAAGUAUCAAUACAGGAACCUUUCCAGGAACUCCAGCUGUCAGACUUAUUGGAGACUGCCAUUUUCUUCACCGGUUAUGCCAGCUCCUGCUGUUUUGUUUUUUCUUCCGGCGAACACAACUACCCCGUUUUAUUGGAGCUGCUCAAAGAAAUGCUGAUUCAUCUGGCCAAAAGCCUCAGCUUAGUGUGCCAGGCAAAUCAGAAGAGACAAACUC